Molecule: long non-coding RNA, 1418 nt
Organism: Nematostella vectensis (starlet sea anemone)
Lineage: Eukaryota; Metazoa; Cnidaria; Anthozoa; Actiniaria; Edwardsiidae
Exons: 2
Source: RefSeq, a predicted model, not a curated record
UUGAAGUGCUCUAUACACAAAGAGCACGUCACCUCAUCCUCGAGGCGCCUGCUGGCGGAUGUUGCCAUUUCUUCAAGAAAAAACUAGAAAAGCAUAAGAAAAUGGUUAUUCCAUUGCUACUCAUAUCAGCCUUAAAAACACUAUCAAUAUCCCUGAGAAUUCUCUUAUUUCUGUGAUGAUAUAAAAAACUAUGAAUUAUCAGCGCUGGGGAAGUUGCAGGUGGUUGAAGAGUCCAAAGCUACGAAAGCCGAGAAGGGCCAUCAGAUUUCAGAGAUGAUAAUUUCAGAGAUGAUAAUUUCAAGAUGAUAAUUUCAGAGAUUAUAAUUUCGGAUAAAUAAUUCUGCCGGGUUAAUGAGCAUGCAGCACUACAAGCACUAUGCAACACAACAAUUCCCCCACAGCUACGUUCGGUCCUGAGGAGUUCUUCAAGUUUUUUCCCAUAUUCUGCCCUUACUAAGGUCGAAUAGAGAAAAGAUUUUCACAAAAUGUAAGUCACAACAUAGUCUAAACAUAUUAACUACAUGGUUUGAAACUAGCCAAGCUAAAAUAACAUGGUUUUUCUGCACCUUUUCAUGGUUCUUCUUAUCGCUGUUUAGAGCGUACUGUAAAGCUCAUCUAAGUGCUGUGUGGCUUAUUUGGAGAAUGACUAGUCAUCUUAUCCAUAGUAGAUUUCCGGUUGAAUUUAAUAUGUUGAAUUAUAAGACAAUUAUAAAUUCUCAAUUUAUACCAAGAAAAUAGAUUCUUUCCAUGCCCGUAACCAGAGUUUUUAAUAGGGUGGCGCUAAUUUGUAUGGAACUUUUAUACAAAACCUUACAACAAGGGUCAGGUGUUUGUAUUGUAGCACAUUUUAGUGGCGGAUCCAAGGGGUUCGGCUCUCCCCUACCUACUCCUCCCCCCCCCCCCCAAAUAAAAAUUGUUGUAGGUUAAUUAAAAAAUGGCAAAUGUGUUCUUAUUGUUUCUGUUGUUCUCUUUUGACAGGCUACUGGUCAUGUUGUUGUUGGUUAGCAUGGAUAAACCAACAUAUUGUGUCUUGCCCUCUUUUACGCCUGCUUCCGGUGAUGAUGAUAGCAGUACAGAAGAUUGCAAGUACUUUAGUCAAGAUUACACAAACAAGGAAAUAGCUAGUUUCCUAGUCUUGCGGCAUGGUUUGGUUAUUUCUGUCAGGACCGUGAAACGAACCCUUAAACUACUAAACCUCAGGCGUGCUCGUUCUGGGAACGAGUCUCCUAUGGAAGCUAUUGUUUACGCAGUCGUACAGAUGUUGGAAAAUAGCUGUGGUUCUUUUUUGGGGUACCGACAAUUGACCAAGUGGUUAUGGCGAAAAUUUCAACUAAUCGUUACGAGAGACACGAUAAUGAAAUGGAUCCGAAUAAUCGACCCAGAAGGUGUUGAGCGCCGUCGAAGGCGUCGGCUGAAAA